GUACCUUCAAGCUCUGCUUGGUGUUGGGUGUUUGUCCUGCCUCUGCGCACGGACUCGCCUGAAAGCAAUUGGCAGCCGGCACUUUGGCCUGUAGCGCAGCACAUUUUGCGCCGCUGGUUUGAGGUUGUUGGCGUCCAUGAAGCCUAUAUUUUUGC
RNAcentral lists this unclassified non-coding RNA (155 nucleotides) under Heterospora chenopodii. Its description in RNAcentral is "partial internal transcribed spacer 2". Lineage: Eukaryota; Fungi; Ascomycota; Dothideomycetes; Pleosporales; Leptosphaeriaceae. The record is from RNAcentral.